RNAcentral lists this long non-coding RNA (7951 nucleotides) under Lactuca sativa (garden lettuce). Its description in RNAcentral is "long non-coding RNA (LSAT_LNC002783)". Lineage: Eukaryota; Viridiplantae; Streptophyta; Magnoliopsida; Asterales; Asteraceae. The record is from RNAcentral.
AGGGACCCUUUGGCUAGCAAAAUCGGCACCUAGUGUUACUAGAGAGGGCAUAACCGAUUUUUGAGUGCAAGAAGUAUUCUCUCAAGUUAUUCCAAGUUUUGUGGUGUUGUGUGAAGCAUUUGAGGCACAACAUUUGGGGUGCUAGGCUCACAAAGUCUUGAAGGAAUCCAAGCAACAACAAGGUAUGUAUUUCUACUAGUUUUAUGUUUUAUGUAAUCCCCAUGCCAUGCUAGUUAGGAUAUAACCUUGAAAAAGAAAUUUGCAUGUAUAUAGAGAAAACAUAGAUUCAAGGUUAUUAGGGUUGCAUGUACACUUAGGAAGUGUUAGAAUGCUCAAAACCCAUCAGUGGUAUCAGAGCCUAGGAUUGUUUUCUGUAUACUUGAUGCAAAACUGCUUGAAAAUCAAAAAUUCUGCUCACUGACGACUGGACUCGCCAAGUUUAUCAGGAGGACUCGCCGAGUCCAUGAACAAAUUCAUCCUACUCGUCGAGUAGGAUAAUGCACUCGACGAGUAGGAGCGUGUUGGGCAGCUUUUCGUGUUUUGUUGCUAGAAAUGGAUUAAAAUCAUUAUCCCAAUCUGUUUUGGACUUGUAAAAUCUGUUUUUCAAAAUGAUAAUGAUUAUGUUAACCCAUUUUACAUGACUUUUAUCAAUUUUCAAGUAUUGUAUAUGUUUAUAUGAUUUCUUGAAAUUGCUUGACAUGAAUUUGUGUUCUUAUGAGUUUUUAGAAGAUCAUAGGAAUUAUGUGUAACCUCCAUGUGUGUUUAAUUCAUGAUCUUAAUGGCAAUGAUGGUGUCCAUAACUUGUCCUCAAGUUAUGGAUAACCAAAAGUCACUUCUUUAAAUUGUGAUUAAAGAACUAAAGAGGUUUCAUAAAAUGAAGAGUCUUCAUUUUUAUGAACCAUUAAAACUCAUAAGUUACAAAUUGAAGAGACUUGGAAUAGUUUCAAUUCUUGCCCUCAAGUUUUGGAAUUUGAAAAGUCUUACACUCUAAUACUUUAAUUCCAAAUUAAACCUUAGAUUUUUAAAAAGUUUAAAAAUCAACACUUAUACUAUUAUUAUAAUUUUAUUAUAUAGAUAUGUAUAAGAAUAUGUCAUUCUUACCGUUAGUAGGCCUCAUUCACGAAGCCGGUCUAUAAGGGGGGUAUAAGGUUGUUGCCUAUAAAAUGGUGACUUAAUGGGUGUCCACUCUCACCCACCGCUUCCUUGAUCGGUGGAGGGUCGUUAGCCGAACGGGUAGGAUACGACUUUAAAUUCUCAUUAAAAGUAUAAUGAAUUAUAAAGUAACUAUACAUUAUAAAUUCCCAAUCUUAGUUACUUUAGGAAAAUGUGAAAUUGGUGCUAGCCCAUAAAAUUACACUUUGUACCUUACCAAGUCGUUAGUGGAGCGUGUGUGGUUAACCGGCACACUAACAUGGACUAGUAAGAGUGGCAAAGGGUAACUUGACUUUAUUAUAGAUCGGUGGAGCGUGUGUGGUUAACCGGCACAUCGAUUAGGUAAUAUUGUUAAGGGUACCAAGUCAAUUUGUAUGGUUAUUCACACCUUGUUUGUGAUCCUCGGCAUCCCAGUCACAAACUUGAGAGGGCACAAUCGAGAUUCAAACAUGCCAUUGAAAAGUUCAAUGUAUCUCAAAAGAUCUAGGAGUUUCAAAACCAAUAAAACCUAAUAAUAAAAUAUUUCGUUCUUAUGGUGGAAAUUGGUAAAUCGUCAUUUACCUACCUUCAAAUAUUUUAUAGUGUGGAUUACGACAUCCCUCUUCCACCUAUAAAUAGUUUGUUGGAUCCUAGCCUUAAUAUUUCAUUUGGGUGACUUAUUAAGGAUUCUUAAUCUAAUGAAACUUAUCCUCCUUUUAUUUCAGAUGACUUCCAAUAACGCUGCUGGCUCAAACCCUACAGGCUCCUUUUCCCUAAUGAACUUUUGUGGUAAGGUCAUCUUUGAUGGAUCCAACUUCAAUGAGUGGAUCAGAAACAUCAGGAUGAUUACCCACUAUGAGGACAAAGAAUAUGUCCUUAAUAGGGAGCUUAUGGUUGUUAAUAAAGCCACUGCUACUCCAGAAGAGCUUGCGGAGUUCAUUACACAAGAGAAGGAUGCCACCAAGGUGUCCUGCAUCAUGAUGGCCACAAUGACUCCGGAGCUCCAAAAAUCUUAUGAAGAUUUCUACCCCUAUGAGAUGCACGUGGAUCUGAUGGAAAGGUACCAUCAUAGCACGCGUCAAGAGAGGUAUGAAAUCAUUUCCUCCAUGAUAACCGCAAGGAUGAAGGAUGGUGAACCCAUCACCGGUCACUUGCAGAAGAUGCAAAGGUUUGUUAACCGGUUGCUGAAGCUAAAUGUUGACUUCCCUGAGGAAAUGGCGAUUGACAUCAUUCUCCAUUCCUUACCUCCAAGUUAUGAUCAGUUUCGUNUAUGACUUAUCAUAUGAACAAGGAGGAAGUCAGACUUAGCAAACUUCAAGGACUCUUAAGGACAGCUGAAGAUGGCCUUAAGGGUAAAGCAGUUUCCACUUCUACUCUUACAACAGCCCCUGUUCUGGCUAUUGUGCAGGGAAAGGGUAAGAAGAGGAAAAGCCCUUCGAAGGGUACCAAGGGUAAGACUCUUGAUGGUUCCUCUUCAAGUGGGACAAAGAAAGGUCCCAUUGCUCCUUCUUCAAACCCAAAGGAAGCACAGUGCUUCUAUUGCCAGGAUAAGGGACACUUCAAGCGAAGCUGCGCCAAAUAUCUGCAAGAUGUAAAGGAUGGGAAGGUUAAACCCACCCAUGCAGGUAUUUACACAAUAUUGUCUAACAACUCAUCUAAUUCUAAUUCUUGAGUGCUUGAUACAGGUUGUGGUAUUCACAUUUGCACUGAUUUGCAGGCACUAAGAAGAAGUGAGCAAGUGGAGCACGGGAAGAUAAACUUAGUCAUGGGCAACAGGAAAGCAUCACCUGUUACCAAGAUAGGAGUUUAUUCUUUAUUGCUUAAUAAUGGGUUAAUGUUAGAUUUGAAUAAGUGUUGUUACUCGCCCGAAAUGGCGAGAAAUAUUAUUUCUUUUCAUGGCUUGUACAAACAAGGUUUUACAUUUUCAUUUGAUAAUAAAAAUGGUGCUAUUAAUGUUUAUUACAAUGAUGUAUUUUACUUUAAAGCAAUACCUUGUGAUGGUGUAUAUGAAGCUGUGAAUGUUGUAGACAAUUUAGGAAAUAAUGUGUUGUAUAUUGAUUCUUCUGAUAGCUUGGAUAAAGCAUCCUUGUGGCAUUGUCGUCUUGGACAUUUUAACAAGAAGCGCAUAGGCCAACUCCAAAAGGCUGGAGUGUUGGAAUCAUUUCACCUCAAGUAAGAUGAUAGUUGCGAGUCUUGUUUACUUGGAAAAAUGACAAAGUCACCUUUCACAUGUACUUGUGAUAGGGGUGAAGGUUUGUUGGACCUUGUACACACGGAUGUGUGUGGGCCCUUCAGAGUUGCUACAAGGGAUGCUAAUCGUUAUUAUGUGACUUUUACUGAUGAUUACAGUAGAUAUGGAUAUAUUUACUUAAUCAAGCAUAAGUCAGAAACCUUUGAAAAGUUCAAAGAGUUUAAGCAGGAAGUUGAGAAUCAAUUGGGCAGGAACAUCAAGAUGCUCCGAUCCGAUCGGGGAGGAGAGUAUCUUAGCAUUGAGUUCCUUGACUAUCUUAAGGAAUGUGGGAUUGUCUCACAAUUGACACCUCCCAGGACACCACAGUUGAAUGGUGUGGCUGAGAGGCGCAAUCGAACCUUGUUGGAUAUGGUUCGUUCCAUGAUGAGUCGAGCUUCGUUACCAAUCUCUUUCUGGGGGUAUGCCUUAGAGACUGCCGCCCAUAUCCUUAAUCUAGUCCCUACUAAAAAGGUUGCCAAAACACCUCACGAGAUGUGGACUGGGAAAGUGCCCAAUUUGGACCACAUCAAGAUUUGGGGUUGUGAAGCUUUUGUGAGGCGUGAGACUCAUGACAAGCUUGAGCCCCGAAGCGAGAGGUGUAUUUUCAUCGGCUACCCACAGAGAUCCUUUGGUUACCUCUUCUACAGACCCAGUGAUAAUGUGGUCUUUGUAGCAAGAAGAGGAGUCUUUCGUGAGAGAAAAUUCAUAAGCCAAGGGGAUAGUGGGAGGAAAAUUGACCUUGAAGAGCUUCAAGAGUCAAGUGGUGAAGGAACCUCAAAUGCUGUCAGCCAACCUGAGGAGGAAACUCCUGUUGAGCUGAUAGAUGAGUCUGUACCUCCAAGACGUUCCACUAGGGUGAGGAACACACCUGAAUUUUAUUAUGGUUAUCACAUCACCACUGAAGGUGAUACAUUUAUCAGUGAUAGUACACUGAUAGAUUUGGAUGAACCUAAUAAUUAUAAGGAAGCCAUGGCAGGCCCUGAGUCUGCGAAAUGGAAGGAGGCUAUGGACAGCGAGAUUCAGUCCAUGUAUGACAAUCAAGUUUGGAACUUGGUUGACAAUGUACCAGGUCGUAAGACAGUUGGGUGCAAAUGGAUCUUCAAGAAGAAGACCGACAUGGAUGGGAAAGUACACACUUAUAAAGCGCGACUGGUUGCGAAGGGCUUUACUCAAACUCCGGGAGUUGACUAUGAUGAGACCUUCUCACCAGUAGCUAAGAUUAAGUCUAUUAGAGUGUUGUUAGCCAUAGCUGCAUUUCAUGACUAUGAAAUAUGGCAAAUGGAUGUCAAAACCGCUUUCCUUAAUGGGAAGCUAGCUGAGGAUGUUUACAUGGCUCAGCCAGAGGGUUUUGUUGAUCCAAAAUACCCUAAUAGAGUGUGUGAGCUUGAAAAAUCCAUUUACGGAUUGAAACAAGUAUCUCGCGGGUGGAAUCUUUGCUUUGAUGAAAAAGUCAAAGAGUUUGGCGUUUCUAGGAGUGAGGAUGAGUCUUCUGUGUAUGUCAGGGCUAGUGGGAGCAUAGUUAGCUUCUUGGUGUUGUAUGUGGAUGACAUACUUCUCAUAGGAAACGACGUCCCAACCUUGCAGGAGGUUAAGGCCUGGCUUGGGAAGUGUUUUGCUAUGAAGGACCUUGGGGAAGCUGCCUAUAUCCUAGGGAUAAGGAUAUUGAGAGAUAGGAGUAAGAGACUAAUUGGACUUAGUCAAAGUACUUAUGUGGAUAAGGUACUGAAGAGGUUCAGUAUGCAAGAUUCCAAGAAAGGAGAAUUACCAAUCCAGAGUAAUGCCAAGCUAAGUAAGACUCAGAGUCCGAGUACAGAGGCUGAGAUAGCUGAGAUGAGUUAAAUACCAUAUGCUUCUGCUAUGGGCUCGAUCAUGUAUGCUAUGACUUGUACUCUCCCUGAUGUGGCCUUCGCUUUGAGCAUGGUCAGUAGAUAUCAAGGGAACCCUGGCAAGGCACACUGGACAGCAGUAAAGAACAUUCUCAAGUAUUUGCGGAGGACUAAGGACUGGGUCCUUACCCUCGGAGGCAGUGAUGACUUGAGAGUGGAAGGAUAUAGUGAUGCUAGCUUUCAAACUGAUAGGGAUAAUUUCCGCUCUCAGUCAGGCUGGGUCUUUAUCCUAAAUGGAGGAGCAAUUACUUGGAAAAGUUCCAAGCAGGAGACAGUAGCUGAUUCAACUUGUGAAUCAGAGUACAUAGCAGCAAGCGAGGCAGCAAAAGAGGCGAUAUGGCUAAAGAACUUCAUCGGAGACCUUGGAGUUGUACCAGCUAUAAAGGAGCCAAUGGAAAUUUUCUGUGACAGUGAAAGUGCGGUUGCUUUGGCUAAAGAACCAAGAGAUCACGGGAGAUCUAGGCACAUUGACAGAAAAUACCAUUUCAUCAGACAUAGAAUAGAAGAAGGACUCCUCGUGGCAAAGAGGGUAUCAUCAGAUGAGAACCCGGCAGAUCCCCUCACGAAGGGACUGAGCAGGGUUAAGCAUUUACAGCAUGCAAGGCGCAUUGGGCUGAAGGAUGAUAUUAGUUUCAAUAAUUAGAUUCCUGAAACUUGUAAAAUGUAAUUGACAUUUGAUGAUAAAUAAAAGUUGUUAUUUAUUUAUGAGUAAGGUGUUACUAUCUUGUGUUGAUUGUUUACUAUGUUUCAAUUUUGCAUGUUUUUACUUCCAGAAUAAUUAUGUUAUGGUAUAUAUCAUAUUAUUCAAACCAUCCACAGUCGGUCAAACUUUGGAAGUAAGUAUUGAUUCAAGACUGUCAUGAAUUUGGCUUGUAUGAUUUGUCUAAAGUGCUUUAGACAAUGCAAUGGUUGCUACAACAUUCAUGAGUACUCAUAAGGGCUGAGUAUUGGAUUCAACCCACGCUCACUUGCAUCACUUCAUGGAAUUUAUCUCGAGUGAUCGUGAGACGGUAAUAUCAUAUAAAUCUUCAAACCUAGAGAUAUGAGUUGUUGACUAUGAGUUGGUUAUUCAUUGAUUGUACGAAAACGCAUUGGUAACUCGAUGUUAUAAAACGUGCCUUUGUGAGUAAUUCAACAAGUAGUUAGUACAAGCAUAUCAGUCGAAGUUUAUCUGUUCCUUCUAGAAAUAGAAGCGAUAUCUGGGCCCCUCGAUGAUUUGGUUUUGACCUAUGUACCGGGCCCGGUCAGAACCUAAUUGAUGUGUUCAAUUUAGUUCUAUGUCGAAACAAAUCGGAGAUCGAGAAACAAAUGCUGGACAAUAAGUAAGACCAUGUUCCAUGUGUUUGUCCGGCUGAUAUCAUGAGAGCAGAGGAUUAUAUGAUCACUUAUCUUAAAUGGCGUAUCAUCAUCAUCUCAGUUCCGAGAGACUUUGAAAGAGCUACGAUUGCUAGUCGGAUUUUGAAGUCAUAUUUGCAAAUAUAGUUAUUAGACUUAUCCAAGUGGGAGACUGUUGGAUAUAGUGUCUAAGUCCAUAACUUUAUUUGGUAUGUACUUGACACGACCCAGCAUGGUCCAUUUGGGUUGCAUAGCAUUGCAAUACUUGGAUAGGCUAAACGAGAGAAUAAGGCACUUAUGAUUACUAAUAUAUUAUAAGUUAUAAUAUAUUAAUAAUAGUAUUAUUUAAUUAGUAUUGAUCAAGUAUUAAUCUAGUAUUAAUUUGGUGAUCAAAGUGAGACUAAUUAAAUAUAUAAGGGUUGAUUAUGACAAUCAUCAAUUCUUUUAUGGUGGAUUAAUGAUCCAUGGUUUAUGGGCUAUGGAUGUAACCAUUUGGAGCUCCAUGGAUAGUCCAUGAGAGUUACAAACCCAUGGGUCAUGAGAAAUGAAGAGUCAUGACAAUUAUGGGUCUUCUUAAUGAAACCCUAAUUGUGACACCACUAUAAAAGGAACCCUUUGGCUAGCAAAAUCGUGACCUAGUGUUACUAGAGAGGGCAUAACCGAUUUUGAGUGCUAGAAGUAUUCUCUCAAGUUAUUCCAAGUUUUGUGGUGUUGUGUGAAGCAUUUGAGGCACAACAUUUGGGGUGCUAGGCUCACAAAGUCUUGAAGGAAUCCAAGCAACAACAAGGUAUGUAUUUCUACUAGUUUUAUAUUUUAUGUAAUCCCCAUGCCAUGCUAGUUAGGAUAUAACCUUGAAAAAGAAAUUUGCAUGUAUAUAGAGAAAACAUAGAUUCAAGGUUAUUAGGGUUGCAUGUACACUUAGGAAGUGUUAGAAUGCUCAAAACCCAUCAAUAACUACAUUCGUGGUUGUAAAACCGUUAAGGAUAUAUGGAAUACUCUCAAGGAAACGUAUCAAGGAAGCAAGAAGACUAAGAUCAAUUCUAUUAAGCAAUGUUUGGUUGAGCUGAAAGAGUUCAAACAUAAUGAAACUAAAACAAUUGAAGUGUCUGAGAUAAUGGAAGAAGCGAAACAGAGUUUAGGAGGACCACUAGCUUUGGUUUCGAAAGUGUCUGAGGUGGAGUUUGCUGAAAAGGAGAAUUCAGAUGAAGAAGGUUUCCUCUUGAAUUCUGAUGAUGAAGCUAUUGCUUUUUAUUCGAAUAAUCGAGUUAAGAAGUUUUUCAAAAAGCCUUUUAAUUCUAAAGGAAAGCAGAGUGAGAUGAAAGGAAAGCUUACGAAGUCUGGUGUAGAAGAGAAAAAGAACUUUGAAAAG